RNAcentral lists this ribosomal RNA (273 nucleotides) under uncultured bacterium. Its description in RNAcentral is "partial 16S ribosomal RNA". It matches the Rfam family "Bacterial small subunit ribosomal RNA", at positions 523 to 796 of the family's 1533-position model. The record is from RNAcentral.
AUACGGAGGGUGCGAGCGUUAAUCGGAAUUACUGGGCGUAAAGCGUACGUAGGCGGUUUGCUAAGUCAGAUGUGAAAGCCCCGGGCUUAACCUGGGAACUGCAUUUGAUACUGGCAGACUAGAGUAUGCUAGAGGGGGGUAGAAUUCCUGGUGUAGCGGUGAAAUGCGUAGACAUCAGGAGGAAUACCAGUGGCGAAGGCGGCCCCCUGGAUCAAUACUGACGCUGAGGUACGAAAGCGUGGGGGCGAACAGGAUUAGAAACCCCAGUAGUCC